GAAGAAGGUUGUAGCAGCUUCUGCUUGAGGUAUUACAAGGUUGUUUUGGAUGAAGCCUUCUCUUUUUAGGAAAACUUUUACGAGAACAUUACUCUCAAGGGGUGUCAUUACAUUGAAUGCUUUAGUUGUUUUUAGUUUAUGAUUAUGGAGUUGCAUUAAAUUUUGAACAAGGAUGAAUGCUUUGUCUUGAAAACUGAUGCUGGAAAUGUGGUAUGCAAUUAACCAUUUAGAAAUUAGACCUUUUCCACAUGUAAAUCUUUCCAUAAUAUGCUAUUUGAACAGAUUUGCAAAUUGCGCGAGGGUUUGGGCAUAGCAACCAAUAAUGCUGCUGAAUAUCGUGCCAUAAUUUUAAGGUUGAAACAUGUUGCCUAUUCAAAGUAAUUUUAGCAAACAAGUUGCCUAUUCUAAAGCUUUUCCGUUUACAUUGGUUGUCUUAGGUUACAGACUUGAUGGCUUCUUCGUUCUCUAUGACUUUCAAAUGGUUGCUUUUUACAAAAUGUUGAUUGGAGAGAAAGGUUGGCUCUGCAAUCUAUCAAAAACCUUUUCACUAAGGAGGUUGUUGAUGUUGUAACUACAAGCACGACUGAUUUGGGGCCACUAAAUCUUGAUUCCUUUAGAAAAGGCAAUUUGUCUGCGUCAUGGAAAGUUGUUGGGGGUAGAGACUUCGGUUCAGGAUAAUGCUAUUUCAAAGUCAAACCAAAAGGCUACAGACUUGAAACAAGAAACAUCUCAGGAUAAAGAGGAAAAGUUUCUAGAUGAUGAUCAUUCACAUGAUACACCUGCUAAAAUACUUCGAAGGCAACUUAGAGAUAAUAGACGUGAGAAGCGGGCCACUGAAUUGGUGAAACAAGAUGAGAAAGUUACCGUGAAACUUGAAAAUGCUGCCAUUGAACAAUCCAAAGCUGUAGACUCUGCUGUUUUGGGCAAAUACAAUCUAUUUUGUACUUUAUAUAAUUGCUUUUUGAUUUGUUGUCUUGCAUGAAGUGAUCUACUACACCUUCAAUGGAGAGAAUAUUUGCUUUUUGAUUAAAUUGUAAAGUUUGGAUAUUGACUAAUUUUAAUUUAUCAAAUUAUAUCA
RNA transcript from Gossypium raimondii (Peruvian cotton), 1078 nucleotides. RefSeq lists it as uncharacterized. The transcript has 5 exons. NCBI's taxonomy places the organism in Eukaryota, Viridiplantae, Streptophyta, Magnoliopsida, Malvales, Malvaceae. The record is from RefSeq and is a predicted model, not a curated record.